CAGUCCCACUUUUUAACCGAGGUCUACAAAGAUGUGACACAGGGCUGCCAUUUGCUGGGGCUGAUGCUGAGCCGGGCACUUCAUGAUGGUGCGGGGAGCAGGCACCAUGCCUGGUGAUCCAGAGGGGGUCCCGUCAACACAGAUGAGGGAGACAGAAGACCCAGCUACGUAUCUAUCUUCAGAAACAUGCUGGCUCGUGGCUGCCAGCCUCCACACCCCAGCGCCAGCGUCACCCCCACACACACUCACAUACUGCUGCAUCAGAACAGGCUGUUGAAUAUUUCAUGACCGACGCUCAGCGGCCUAAAUUAUUCACCCCGUAACCAAGGCACAGUGAGUGCCGGGGUCUUUGGGAUCAGGGGCUGGUGGGGGCCCACUGGGUUCUUUCUGCAGAGGCCCACGGCGGUGUACACAGCGGGUGGGGGGCCAGACCUGCAGUGAGCUCUGCUCUCUCAGCACUCCCUACUUGGCAGAGAUCCAUGACCCAGGGGUGCCCAGCCAGCCAGAGAAGGUCUGAGAAGCUGGCAUCAAGCAGGAUCUGAGCAGCAGGGGGAAGUGGUACCCACGGCCUCCUGCAGGGCCGCUGGCUGGCACUCCCAGCCCAAGUUCCUGGCACGGAAUGAGCCCUCAGUAAGUGCUGGAGCUCAUCACCAUUCUCAUUAGUAUUCCACCAUCUGCACUCAUGCGCCCCAUUAUGGAGUCAGAGCCUCCAGCUUGGAAUACCCCAGAACAUGAGGCAGAUAUGCUGUUGGGCUGGGUGGGAAGGGGUCCUGGCUCAACAUCCCCUUCCACCUUGGCCUGAGGACAAGAAGAACAAUGGGCACUCUCACAGUCACUGGGGAGUAUUACAAAGAUAUGGAUGAGCAUAAGGACCAAAAUGAAAUUCCCAUCACACACCUGGA
RNAcentral lists this long non-coding RNA (902 nucleotides) under Homo sapiens (human). Its description in RNAcentral is "non-protein coding lnc-CROCC-5:2". The record is from RNAcentral. Lineage: Eukaryota; Metazoa; Chordata; Mammalia; Primates; Hominidae.